UUCCUACGGGGCGCAGCAGUGAGGAAUAUUGGUCAAUGGGAGAGAUCCUGAACCAGCCAAGCCGCGUGAGGGAAGACGGCCCUAUGGGUUGUAAACCUCUUUUGUCGGAGAACAAAACCCGGGACGUGUCCCGGACUGCGUGUAUCCGAAGAAAAAGCAUCGGCUAACUCCGUGCCAGCAGCCGCGGUAAUACGGAGGAUGCGAGCGUUAUCCGGAUUUAUUGGGUUUAAAGGGUGCGUAGGCGGUCCGUUAAGUCAGCGGUAAAAUCGAGGGGCUCAACCCCUUUAAGCCGUUGAAACUGGUGG
This 305-nucleotide ribosomal RNA is filed under the name uncultured bacterium. RNAcentral's name for it is "bacterial SSU rRNA". It matches the Rfam family "Bacterial small subunit ribosomal RNA", at positions 336 to 639 of the family's 1533-position model. The record is from RNAcentral.